This 912-nucleotide unclassified non-coding RNA is filed under the name Hevea brasiliensis (rubber tree). The record is from RNAcentral. Lineage: Eukaryota; Viridiplantae; Streptophyta; Magnoliopsida; Malpighiales; Euphorbiaceae.
GAAGGAAAGAAGUUUGGUGGGGGUAAGAUGCUUUAGUUAUUAAGCAUUUUGUUUAUUGUUUGCCCCAUUUGUGUAGUUGAAUUCUUUUCACUAUUAAUAUAAUGGAGAGUGUAAUUUAAUUUUUUAUUUUUUAUGUUAUUUUUUGCUUGGAUAUUGAUGCGGACUUGGUGUCCAAUAGAGCUAAAUGGUAAAAAAGGAUUCAUAUAACCGGCUAGUUUGGGAUUUAGGCUUAGUUGUUGUUGUAUAUUAUUUUUUUUUUCCCUAUUUAAAGAGAGGUUAUGGAAUGCCUUUCUUCGGUUUUUACAUAAAAAUUAUGAAUUGUAGAGAUAUCUUGCUUGACAUGAUGUAGUCUAGCCCUUUAUGAGAGAUUUUGUGAUUUUGUAACGAGUAUUGAGGCUCUGAUUUUGUCCUAUACUUGCCUCUGAAAAAUGGGAAACAAAGGCUUUCUGCUAUUCCACAUCAGCAAAUGCAAUUUAUAUGUUCUUUUGUGAGUUUAUUGGAAGUUUAAACAAUUUAUGAAUCCUUUUUUCUCCAUUAUUUAUGUCUUAGUCUCUUGAAUUAUGCCUAUUCUUUUCUCAACUCUUGAAAGAGUGCUGUAACAAAAUAGUUGGUUAUUUGGUUGCUAAACUUUGAUAUUAGAUACUUAGAUUGGUGAGGGGCUGAAUAGUGAAUGGGGGUUCUUUUUUGGAUAUUUUCAUAUUCUCGUUCUAAAACUUCAAUUCUCUUUUUUGUUUUAACAUAUAGGAAUCAGGAUUUAAAUGAAACUUUGAGUUUACAACUUAUAUCUUUGUAACUUCUCUAUUUUUUGGGAAGCUGCUAUUCCCACCUUUUUUGCUUAUUACCUAGCCAUAGUUAUUAAAGGCACAAGGCGCACUAAGGCGCCAAGGGCUCCUGGAGCCUAGGCGCAAGGCG